RNAcentral lists this long non-coding RNA (1120 nucleotides) under Bos taurus (domestic cattle). Its description in RNAcentral is "long non-coding RNA NONBTAT013578". Lineage: Eukaryota; Metazoa; Chordata; Mammalia; Artiodactyla; Bovidae. The record is from RNAcentral.
GUGAGCCUCACAGAGUGGUUCCUAGAGCCUGAGAGCUGCCCAUAACCAGCUUGGGGGGCACCAGACAAUGCAAGCAAAAUGUCCAUCUUCGGGAAACACAGCUAAAGUCCAAUGCCUAGGUCCUGUGCCUCUCAGAUACUGAUUUAUGUCAAAACACCUCUUGGGAAGUCCCUCAACUGUUCUGUGCACAUUCCUCUGCCAGAGACCCCGCCACCCACUAGCUGACCUAUUGGGGAACAGAGGAGAGACAGGCCAUCAAGGUCAGCCUCCUUAUUCCAAGUGUCCCACAGGAAGAGUAAGUUGAGAAGAUGACAGAUGAAAUGUGGACGAGUUGACCUCAGGGCUCAGUUUGCAUUUUCCCUCCUUCAAAAAUGCCAUAGUCCUCCCAGUAGGAUUGGAAAUUGGCAGGUGUCUAGUAAGCAUCUGGUCCAAUCAAAUAUCUCAUUUUAUGGCUUCCUCUCAUUGGUCCUUAACUAAGAAUUUCCUUGACAACCAUUAAUAACAUUGAGCUCCCUCAGCUUGGCAGAAUAUUGUGUCUAGGGGAAAAUCCUCCUUCACCCCCAAGGACAGUGGCCACAGCCAAGCUUCUGUCAUGCAGGCAGAACCUGAAGGGCAGAGCCACACAGGACAUCCACCAGAACACUACAGGCCAUUCCUGAAGUAGGGUUCCCUCUCAGGGCUCUGGUCAUUAGAUCGCCACCUGCGUGUGUUAUCAUCCUCGUUGCCUCCCCUUCCCACUGCUCUGUGCCCUUGUGAACUGUCUAUUCCUAGCAAGGCUAUCAUGCUCCAGAUCAUUUUGUCUUUGCUAGGCUUUUGCUUAGGGUUGUCUUUCCAUCAUUAGCACCCUGUGUAUAUUUCACCCACCAUUCCCACAGGGCCACCUGAUGCUGUCACAGGACAUCCUCUUCUCUGAUUUGCUUACCAAUCACUUUCCUAGAUGGUAGGCCUUUGCACACAGUAGCCAUAGUUCCUGACUUUGAGGGCAGAAAGGAAGCUGCAGGGAUAUUUAACUCCAAAGUGGGAAGGGACUCUAGCAAGUCCAAUGGCUGCAAAGUAAAAAUCAACAUUCUCUCAGAUUAUAGCUUGUUCACUGAGUACAGAAUAAAGGAGACUUAUUUUA